Non-coding RNA from Ochromonadaceae sp. CCMP2298, 72 nucleotides. The record is from the annotation of a GenBank genome assembly. Lineage: Eukaryota; Synurophyceae; Ochromonadales; Ochromonadaceae.
UCCCUCGUUGUCUAACGGUUAGGAUAUAGGAUUCUCAUUCCUGGGGUCCGGGUUCGAUUCCCGGCGAGGGAA